Molecule: ribosomal RNA, 468 nt
Filed under: uncultured bacterium
Lineage: Bacteria
Description: partial 16S ribosomal RNA
Rfam family: Bacterial small subunit ribosomal RNA
Source: RNAcentral
GACGAACGCUGGCGGCGUGCUUAACACAUGCAAGUCGAACGGAAAGGCCCUGCUUUUGUGGGGUGCUCGAGUGGCGAACGGGUGAGUAACACGUGAGUAACCUGCCCUUGACUUUGGGAUAACUUCAGGAAACUGGGGCUAAUACCGGAUAGGAUCUCCUGCUGCGUGGUGGGGGUUGGAAAGUUUCGGCGGUUGGGGAUGGACUCGCGGCUUAUCAGCUUGUUGGUGGGGUAGUGGCUUACCCAGGCUUUGACGGGUACCCGGCCUGAGAGGGUGACCGGCCACAUUGGGACUGAGAGACGGCCCAGACGCCUACGGGAGGCAGCAGGGGGGAAUAUUGCACAAUGGGCGGAAGCGUGAUGCAGCAACGCCGCGUGCGGGAUGACGGCCUUCGGGUUGUAAAACGCUUUCGCCUGUGACGAAGCGUGAGUGACGGUAAUGGGUAAAGAAGCACCGGCUAACUACGUG